Molecule: ribosomal RNA, 253 nt
Filed under: uncultured bacterium
Lineage: Bacteria
Description: partial 16S ribosomal RNA
Rfam family: Bacterial small subunit ribosomal RNA
Source: RNAcentral
UACGUAGGCAGCAAGCGUUGUUCGGAGUUACUGGGCGUAAAGGGUGUGUAGGUGGCCUGUUAAGUUCCGUGUGAAAUCUCCCGGCUCAACCGGGAGGGUGCGCGGAAAACUGGCGGGCUAGAGUACGGGAUGGGAGAGUAGAAUUCCUGGUGUAGCGGUGAAAUGCGUAGAUAUCAGGAGGAACACCUGUGGCGAAAGCGGCUCACUGGACCAUAACUGACGCUGAUGCACGAAAGCUAGGGGAGCAAACAGG